This 393-nucleotide ribosomal RNA is filed under the name uncultured bacterium. RNAcentral describes it as "partial 16S ribosomal RNA". It matches the Rfam family "Bacterial small subunit ribosomal RNA", at positions 523 to 918 of the family's 1533-position model. The record is from RNAcentral.
AUACGGAAGGUCCGGGCGUUAUCCGGAUUUAUUGGGUUUAAAGGGAGCGCAGGCGGAGAUGCAAGCGUGACGUCAAAUUUCGGGGCUCAACCCCGUCUCGCGUCGCGAACUGCGUCCCUUGGUUGCGGGAAGGGGAGGCGGAACGCGCGGUGGUGCGGGGAAAUGCAUAGAUAUCACGAAGAACUCCGAUCGCGAAGGCAGCCUUCCGGCCCGUCAACGACGCUCAUGCUCGAAGGUGCGGGUAUCAAACAGGAUUAGAUACCCUGGUAGUCCGCACAGUAAACGAUGGACACCCGCGGUUUGGCCUGUAUGGCUGAGCCGCCAAGCGAAAGCGUUAAGUGUCCCACCUGGGGAGUACGCCGGCAACGGUGAAACUCAAAUGAAUUGGCGGGG